Molecule: ribosomal RNA, 1021 nt
Filed under: uncultured bacterium
Lineage: Bacteria
Description: bacterial SSU rRNA
Rfam family: Bacterial small subunit ribosomal RNA
Source: RNAcentral
AGGAAUAUUGGUCAAUGGGCGGAAGCCUGAACCAGCCAAGUCGCGUGAGGGAAGACGGUCCUAUGGAUUGUAAACCUCUUUUGCCGGGGAGCAAAGCCGGGCUCGUGAGCCCGGAAGGAGAGUACCCGGAGAAAAAGCAUCGGCUAACUCCGUGCCAGCAGCCGCGGUAAUACGGAGGAUGCGAGCGUUAUCCGGAUUUAUUGGGUUUAAAGGGUGCGUAGGCGGGAUCUUAAGUCAGCGGUAAAAAUGCGGGGCUCAACCCCGUAGUGCCGUUGAAACUGAGGUUCUUGAGUGGGCGAGAAGUAUGCGGAAUGCGUGGUGUAGCGGUGAAAUGCAUAGAUAUCACGCAGAACUCCGAUUGCGAAGGCAGCAUACCGGCGCCCAACUGACGCUGAGGCACGAAAGCGUGGGGAUCGAACAGGAUUAGAUACCCUGGUAGUCCACGCAGUAAACGAUGAAUGCUCGCUGUCCGGGAACUACGGUCCUGGGUGGCCCAGCGAAAGCGAUAAGCAUUCCACCUGGGGAGUACGCCGGCAACGGUGAAACUCAAAGGAAUUGACGGGGGCCCGCACAAGCGGAGGAACAUGUGGUUUAAUUCGAUGAUACGCGAGGAACCUUACCCGGGCUCAAACGUUUCAGGACGAUGCUCGAAAGAGUAUUUCCCUUCGGGGUCUGAGACGAGGUGCUGCAUGGUUGUCGUCAGCUCGUGCCGUGAGGUGUCGGCUUAAGUGCCAUAACGAGCGCAACCCCUACCGACAGUUGCUAACAGGCAAAGCUGAGGACUCUGUCGGGACUGCCGGCGCAAGCUGAGAGGAAGGCGGGGAUGACGUCAAAUCAGCACGGCCCUUACGUCCGGGGCGACACACGUGUUACAAUGGCAGGUACAGCGGGAAGCCAUAUGGCGACAUAGAGCGGAACCCGAAAACCUGUCUCAGUUCGGAUUGGAGUCUGCAACCCGACUCCAUGAAGCUGGAUUCGCUAGUAAUCGCGCAUCAGCCACGGCGCGGUGAAUACGUUCCCG